Molecule: transfer RNA, 58 nt
Organism: Cavia porcellus (domestic guinea pig)
Lineage: Eukaryota; Metazoa; Chordata; Mammalia; Rodentia; Caviidae
Rfam family: tRNA
About the family: Transfer RNA (tRNA) molecules are approximately 80 nucleotides in length. Their secondary structure includes four short double-helical elements and three loops (D, anti-codon, and T loops).
Source: Rfam
UAGCUCAGUCGGUAGAGCGUGAGACCCAUAAUCUCAGGCUCGUGGGUUCGAGCCUCAC